Molecule: ribosomal RNA, 285 nt
Filed under: uncultured bacterium
Lineage: Bacteria
Description: partial 16S ribosomal RNA
Rfam family: Bacterial small subunit ribosomal RNA
Source: RNAcentral
ACUCCUACGGGAGGCAGCAGUGGGGAAUAUUGCACAAUGGGGGAAACCCUGAUGCAGCCAUGCCGCGUGUGUGAAGAAGGCCUUCGGGUUGUAAAGCACUUUCAGUAGGGAGGAAGGUAGUGUAGUACACCUCACNAUUUGACGUUACCUACAGAAGAAGCACCGGCUAACUCCGUGCCAGCAGCCGCGGUAAUACGGAGGGUGCGAGCGUUAAUCGGAAUUACUGGGCGUAAAGCGCAUGCAGGCGGCCUGUUAAGUCAGAUGUGAAAGCCCGGGGCUCAACCU